GUGGGUAUAGCUCAGUGGUAGAGCACAUGCUUAGCAUACAUGAGGUCCUGGGUUCAAUCCCCAGUACCUCCA
RNAcentral lists this transfer RNA (72 nucleotides) under Camelus bactrianus (Bactrian camel). It matches the Rfam family "tRNA". Rfam says of the family: Transfer RNA (tRNA) molecules are approximately 80 nucleotides in length. Their secondary structure includes four short double-helical elements and three loops (D, anti-codon, and T loops). RNAcentral also lists the same sequence under 2 other names. The record is from Rfam by way of RNAcentral. Lineage: Eukaryota; Metazoa; Chordata; Mammalia; Artiodactyla; Camelidae.